GACAGAGGGGGCAAGCGUUGCUCGGAAUUACUGGGCGUAAAGGGCGCGUAGGCGGGAUGGCAAGUCGGUCGUGAAAUCCCUCGGCUCAACUGAGGAUCGUCGAUCGAUACUGCCGUUCUUGAGGGAUGCAGAGGAGAUUGGAAUUCCCGGUGUAGCGGUGAAAUGUGUAGAGAUCGGGAGGAACACCGGUGGCGAAGGCGGGUCUCUGGGCAUCUCCUGACGCUGAGGCGCGAAAGCGUGGGGAGCAAACGGG
RNAcentral lists this ribosomal RNA (253 nucleotides) under uncultured bacterium. Its description in RNAcentral is "partial 16S ribosomal RNA". It matches the Rfam family "Bacterial small subunit ribosomal RNA", at positions 524 to 776 of the family's 1533-position model. The record is from RNAcentral.